GUAAAAUACGCCAUGGAGGCGGAGGGACGGUGGCUAACACUUUCGCCCGCCCCGUGCACGCGAUCGCUGGGGAGCUGGGGUCGCUGCGCUCCCGGCCUGCAGUUACCUGGUCCAGCGGGAUGCCCAGGAGCUCGCUGAGCGGGUGCAGGUGCCCCAGCUUUGUCCCUGAAUAUGUGCUUAAUCUGCCAGCCAGGGAUCCAGAAGCACCAUCUCCCUGUCUGCAUUCUGAUCACCCACCUCACUUCCAGAGCAUGAGAGAACCACGAUGAAGAAAGUCAUGUGCUAAGAAAGGCAGAGAAGAAAAGCUGAAGAAAUCUGGGUGAUUGACAGAAACCAUGAUUAAUGACAUCACGGAGCUACUAGACCAGCCCGGGCCUGCCUGUCUCCAUGCUUCUUGGAACGUGAGAAAAAUAAACUGUAUUUGAUUAUGUUCCUUU
This 437-nucleotide long non-coding RNA is filed under the name Homo sapiens (human). RNAcentral describes it as "HSALNT0332972". Lineage: Eukaryota; Metazoa; Chordata; Mammalia; Primates; Hominidae. The record is from RNAcentral.